AUUAGGCCCCUAAUGUUUUUAAUUGGGUUAUAUCAACCCAAAAUUAACAGAGGUAAACUUCCGUUAACCUCUUAAAUGGGACCCAUGCAACAGAUGAAUAAAUUCUCAAAUUGAAUACAAAAUCCCUAAAAGCUCUAAUCUUCUCCCAAAAUUGCCCAUCGCAAUCAGUAGAAAACCCAUGUAUAUUCUCUGAGAUUUCUGUGAAUUUGACUUUCGAAUCUAAGAAGGAGAUGCGCAUUGUUCUAAAGGAGGUUAUAUUUCAAGCAGUGCGAGUUGCUGCUAUAGUACCUAGCCACAAGGUCAGGAUAUUGGUGGCGAGAGGAAAAUUGGAAUGUUUUCAGAGGAAUUUGUUGGCAAUCCACCUACUGAUCUGGGUUAUUCUACUCAUGGACUUCAGUGGAAAGGCAAAAAAGCUAUUACUUGGAGGCAACUUGAGGAGCAAAGGGAGUUGGGUGUUAGCAAGGUCAUGAAGAAGUUCAAAAGGAAUUAAUAUGCUGUGGAAUGCUUUUGAAGUUUAUGUACUAAAUUAGUUUUAUCCUAAUGCAUAUAAUUGCUAAUAUAGUAAGCCAAAUACAGUGGUUAAAUUUAUAAGCUCCUUAUUUUGUUUUUGUUAUGAGCACGCAAGUUCCAUGUUGAACAUGAGGGUCAAAUGUAAAUCAAGUUCCUCUAGGAACUAUAAAAUGCUUAGGAGCUA
Hevea brasiliensis (rubber tree) is the source of this 694-nucleotide long non-coding RNA. RefSeq lists it as uncharacterized. The transcript is spliced from 2 exons. The record is from RefSeq and is a predicted model, not a curated record. NCBI's taxonomy places the organism in Eukaryota, Viridiplantae, Streptophyta, Magnoliopsida, Malpighiales, Euphorbiaceae.